AACGAACGCUGGCGGCAUGCCUAACACAUGCCAGUCGAACGAGACCUUCGGGUCUAGUGGCGCACGGGUGCGUAACGCGUGGGAACCUGCCCUUAGGUUCGGAAUAACUCCCCGAAAGGGGUGCUAAUACCGGAUAAUGUCUUCGGACCAAAGAUUUAUCGCCUUUGGAUGGGCCCGCGUUGGAUUAGCUAGUUGGUAGGGUAAAAGCCUACCAAGGCGACGAUCCAUAGCUGGUCUGAGAGGAUGAUCAGCCACACUGGGACUGAGACACGGCCCAGACUCCUACGGGAGGCAGCAGUGGGGAAUAUUGGACGAUGGGCGAAAGCCUGAUCCAGCAAUGCCGCGUGGGUGAUGAAGGCCUUAGGGUUGUAAAGCUCUUUUACCCGGGAUGAUAAUGACAGUACCGGGAGAAUAAGCGCCGGCUAACUCCGUG
Molecule: ribosomal RNA, 433 nt
Filed under: uncultured bacterium
Lineage: Bacteria
Description: partial 16S ribosomal RNA
Rfam family: Bacterial small subunit ribosomal RNA
Source: RNAcentral